RNAcentral lists this non-coding RNA (77 nucleotides) under Candidatus Zhuqueibacterota. Lineage: Bacteria; Pseudomonadati. The record is from RNAcentral.
GUGCGAGAUCGUGGAGUGAUUUGGGGCGUAUUGCAACCACGUUAAAAAAAGUGCUAAAAGGCCGUUUCAUCAGCCUG